GCUUGUCAACCCCAUCUCGCUUUGCAAGGUAUACCUCUAAAUGAUUCAAAAAGUCUCUUUGUCCCUGUUUAUUAGGGAUUUCAUUGGCGUUUUGUGGGGUUGGUGAAGGCUUGGGAUCCAUCGUCACAGGAAUUUCUUAGUCGGUAGAAGUCUUUCGCGAGAGAGAGAGAGCGCGCAGGAAUUUCUUAGUCGGUAGAGGUCUUUCGCGAGAGAGAGAGAGAGAGAGAUGCGAGGGGAGAUGGAAUCCCUCGCUCG
Molecule: long non-coding RNA, 255 nt
Filed under: Populus trichocarpa (black cottonwood)
Lineage: Eukaryota; Viridiplantae; Streptophyta; Magnoliopsida; Malpighiales; Salicaceae
Description: long non-coding RNA (PTRI_LNC003230)
Source: RNAcentral